Molecule: transfer RNA, 90 nt
Filed under: Candidatus Saccharimonadota bacterium
Lineage: Bacteria; Candidatus Saccharimonadota
Description: tRNA-Ser
Rfam family: tRNA
About the family: Transfer RNA (tRNA) molecules are approximately 80 nucleotides in length. Their secondary structure includes four short double-helical elements and three loops (D, anti-codon, and T loops).
Source: RNAcentral
GGAAGCGUGGCCGAGUGGUUGAAGGCGCACGACUCGAAAUCGUGUGGGCCCUCGCGGGUCUCGGAGGUUCGAAUCCUCUCGCUUCCGCCA